AUGGUCCUUCCAAGAGGAAGAAGAAAAAGGAAGAACAGGUCAUCAGCCUCGGACCUCAGGUGGUUGAAGGAGAGAAUGUAUUUGGUGCCUGCCACAUCUUUGUCUCCUUCAAUGACACCUUUGUCCAUGUCACUGAUGUUUCUGGCAAGGGAACUACCUGCCAUGUGGCUGCCAGGAUGAAGAUGAAAGCUGACAGGAUGAAUCCUCACCACACACUGCCAUGUCGGCUGCCCAGGAGGUGGCCCAGCAGUGCAAGGAGCUGGGGCAUUACUGCCCUACACAUUUGCAAACUCCAGGCCACAGCAGGAAAUAGGACCAAGCACCCUGGACCUAGGGCCCAGUCAGCCCUCAGAACACUUGCCUGCUUGGGGAUGAAGAUCGGGGCAGAUCGAGGAUGUCACUCCCAUUCCCUUCCGACAGCACUAGAGGAAGGAGGAUUGCCAUGGUCACCGCCUGGGA
Molecule: long non-coding RNA, 459 nt
Filed under: Homo sapiens (human)
Lineage: Eukaryota; Metazoa; Chordata; Mammalia; Primates; Hominidae
Description: non-protein coding lnc-TMEM154-1:1
Source: RNAcentral